AUGAGGGGGUGGUAUCUGUGGGAAGUCUGAGGAGAGACCAGCGUGCAGACAGAGGGGAGCAAUAGAAAUUGACAUAGGAAAGAAUGAGUGGAGAAAGCAAGAGACGUAGGAAGAAGAGAGAGGCAGAUGCUGUUGGAAUCAGGAACUGAGAGAAAGAAGUUGGAGGCAGAUUGUCCAAGACAGGAAUGCAAUGAGCAUUUCAGAACAGAGUUUGUCCAAAGAGAAGCUGGACGAGCCCCAGCCUAAGCCAGCAGACUUCAAUGGGGUGGGAACAAGCAGGUAUAUCCUUCAAGAGAUGGACUGUGGUUUCUUUGCCAUCUGCGAGAAUCAAUGUGUGAUAAAAGUUGAAGAGAUCAGUCUUGAAACUUUGCUGUAAACUGCUGGCCAUCUCCACAGAAUGACAGGAGAACAUGACCAAGAGAAGCCCGAAGGCCAGGCAAGGCUGGGAUC
Long non-coding RNA from Hemicordylus capensis (graceful crag lizard), 450 nucleotides. RefSeq lists it as uncharacterized. The record is from RefSeq and is a predicted model, not a curated record. The transcript is spliced from 3 exons. NCBI's taxonomy places the organism in Eukaryota, Metazoa, Chordata, Lepidosauria, Squamata, Cordylidae.